AGGCUCUCGCAUCGAUGAAGAACGCAGCGAAAUGCGAUAAGUAAUGUGAAUUGCAGAAUUCAGUGAAUCAUCGAAUCUUUGAACGCACCUUGCACCCUUUGGUAUUCCGAAGGGUAUGCCUGUUUGAGUGUCUUGAAACCAUCAAACUCCCCUUUGGGUUUUCGACCUUGAGGGGGUUUGGAAUUGGGGGCUUGCUGCCGAGAGGCGGCUCCCCUUGAAUGCCUCGGACCGAUCCCAGCCUCAGUAGCCGGCGUUGUAUUGCCCUCGCUGCGAAAGGGUUUUUGUGGGAGUGCCGUCCUCGAAGCGCCUGUGGAGUGGCGCCUCUUUCGAUUGAACUUUCUGACCUCAAAUCAGGCAGGACUACCCGCUGA
This 371-nucleotide unclassified non-coding RNA is filed under the name uncultured fungus. RNAcentral describes it as "partial contains 5.8S ribosomal RNA and internal transcribed spacer 2". The stretch from base 2 to 133 matches the Rfam family "5.8S ribosomal RNA", at positions 23 to 154 of the family's 154-position model. The record is from RNAcentral. Lineage: Eukaryota; Fungi.